Molecule: ribosomal RNA, 494 nt
Filed under: uncultured bacterium
Lineage: Bacteria
Description: partial 16S ribosomal RNA
Rfam family: Bacterial small subunit ribosomal RNA
Source: RNAcentral
GACGAACGCUGGCGGCGUGCUUAACACAUGCAAGUCGAACGGAAAGGCCUGCUUUCCCUUGUGGAUUGCGGGUACUCGAGUGGCGAACGGGUGGGUAGCACGUGAGUGAUCUGCCCCCAACUUGGGUAUAAGCCUGGGAAACUGGGUCUAAUUCCCGAUAGGACUGCAGGGUGGUGCCUGUGGUGGAAAACGAUUUUCUAGUGGUUGGGGAUGAGCUCGCGGCCUAUCAGCUUGUUGGUGGGGUAAUGGCCUACCAAGGCGGCGACGGGUAGCCGGCCUGAGAGGGUGGACGGCCACAUUGGGACUGAGAUACGGCCCAGACUCCUACGGGAGGCAGCAGUGGGGAAUAUUGCACAAUGGGCGGAAGCCUGAUGCAGCGACGCCGCGUGGGGGAUGACGGCCUUCGGGUUGUAAACUCCUUUCGACCGCGAGGAAGCCACCUGGUUGGAAGGGUGGUGACGGUAGUGGUAGAAGAAGCACCGGCUAACUACGUG